ACGGGAGGCAGCAGUGGGGAAUAUUGCACAAUGGGGGAAACCCUGAUGCAGCGACGCCGCGUGAGUGAAGAAGUAUUUCGGUAUGUAUAGCUCUAUCAGCAGGAAAGAAAAUGACGGUACCUGACUAAGAAGCCCCGGCUAACUACGUGCCAGCAGCCGCGGUAAUACGUAGGGGGCAAGCGUUAUCCGGAUUUACUGGGUGUAAAGGGAGCGUAGACGGUAAGGCAAGUCUGAAGUGAAAUGCCAGGGCUCAACCCUGGAACUGCUUUGGAAACUGUCCUACUAGAGUGCAGGAGAGGUAAGUGGAAUUCCUAGUGUAGCGGUGAAAUGCGUAGAUAUUAGGAGGAACACCAGUGGCGAAGGCGGCUUACUGGACUGUAACUGACGUUGAGGCUCGAAAGCGUGGGGAGCAAACAGGAUUAGAUACCCUGGUA
Molecule: ribosomal RNA, 434 nt
Filed under: uncultured Lachnospiraceae bacterium
Lineage: Bacteria; Bacillati; Bacillota; Clostridia; Lachnospirales; Lachnospiraceae
Description: partial 16S ribosomal RNA
Rfam family: Bacterial small subunit ribosomal RNA
Source: RNAcentral